CCAGGCCCGGGGUGCAGCCGCCAGCCGGUGCUGGGACGAGGCAGGGAGGCUGAUGCCAGAGCGAACGGGGGCUGCUGCCGGCUGGGUCGGGCUGUCUUCUGUAGCAGCAGCGACUCCACAGCAAACACACUCCAGCUGCUGAAAUUUUUAAGAAGGUUGGGUGGGGAGCAAUUGGGUGGUGUAGACGUCACCGCUCUUGCGAGCAUAGAGGUUUCCUGCUGACCUGGGACUGUGUGCGCCCGGCCACGGAGGGGAAGGAACUGGAGGGGAAGGCAUUGCGGGCUCGGGCUCGGGAGAGCCGCAGGGCUCCCUGGGAUCCCGAGGGAGCGAUGGAGAGCGAGAAAUCCUGACCGUCGGAGCCCAUCUUCCAUGGCACGACGGUGAAGUUCAGACCGGAACUGUGAAAAGCACAGCGCCACAUCAAACCGCUGGGUACCACCCCUGUCCCGGAAUGCUGUGAUGCAAAGAACAUGCCCUGACUAGCCUGCUGAUCCAAAGACAAUGAGAUAUAUGUGGAGCAGACUUGGACCCAACACGUGGCUCUGGAGAAAUAGGAUCAUUCGCCCAGCAGUCUGCUUUGGAGUGAGGCAAACCUACCAAGAUUAGAUUAAAGACUUCUCUGCUUCCUUGUUGGUCAUGAGUACUGAGCAAAGUCUAUUCUGCUUAUCUACAACACCCUAAUCAGCC
This is a long non-coding RNA of Equus quagga, 687 nucleotides long. RefSeq lists it as uncharacterized. The record is from RefSeq and is a predicted model, not a curated record. The transcript has 3 exons. Lineage: Eukaryota; Metazoa; Chordata; Mammalia; Perissodactyla; Equidae.